CUGUCAGAAUAUGUAUGUCUAUUUUCUAAUGGACUAGGUGAUUCACACCAGUAUCUCGGACAGCGGUUCGAUUCCGCUCAGCUCCAUAAAUGGGGCUGCAAUGGUUUCGACGGGGUAUCAGGAGAGUGACUGAAGCCUGCUCGGUCAGAGCAAAACCAUAACUGCUAACAACAUCGUUAGUUUCUCCCGUCAAACAGCCCCUGUUGCUGCUUGAUCUUUUAGGAGAUGGGGUCAGGUCAUCCUUAUUACCCAAUUGAUCCAUGGAGCCUGGAAGGGCUC
Molecule: non-coding RNA, 279 nt
Organism: Prochlorococcus marinus str. NATL2A
Lineage: Bacteria; Bacillati; Cyanobacteriota; Cyanophyceae; Synechococcales; Prochlorococcaceae
Rfam family: Cyanobacteria transfer-messenger RNA
About the family: Bacterial tmRNA, also known as 10Sa RNA or SsrA, is named for its dual tRNA and mRNA-like properties. Its role is to liberate the mRNA from a stalled ribosome. To accomplish this part of the tmRNA is used as a reading frame that ends in a translation stop signal.
Source: Rfam